RNAcentral lists this long non-coding RNA (224 nucleotides) under Carica papaya (papaya). RNAcentral's name for it is "long non-coding RNA (CPAP_LNC009555)". Lineage: Eukaryota; Viridiplantae; Streptophyta; Magnoliopsida; Brassicales; Caricaceae. The record is from RNAcentral.
GUAGAUGGGUUAAAUCUUUUGUACUUCUCGAUGUAGCCUGGGUCCAUUUUGGGUGGAGUUGAGUCCUGCUGAAAAUGAACUGAAUUAUGCUGGAGAGGGACCGGAUUGCCCUGUGGUGGCACCUGAUUGUAUGGCGGAGUCACCGGAUUGUACUGUGGCAGUGUCGAAUGAUACGGAAGAUGAAGAGGGUUGUACCGAGGUGGUAGUAGAUCCUCUCACUAUAG